GUUGGUUUUACCCGAAGCCGGUGCGCUAACCGCAAGGAGGCAGCCGACCACGGUAAGGUCAGCGACUGGGGUGAAGUCGUAACAAGGUAGCCCUAGGGGAACCUGGGGCUGGAUCACCUCCUUU
This 124-nucleotide ribosomal RNA is filed under the name Parvibaculum sp. RNAcentral describes it as "partial 16S ribosomal RNA". It matches the Rfam family "Bacterial small subunit ribosomal RNA", at positions 1410 to 1533 of the family's 1533-position model. The record is from RNAcentral. Lineage: Bacteria; Pseudomonadati; Pseudomonadota; Alphaproteobacteria; Hyphomicrobiales; Parvibaculaceae.